UUCCUCAUAUCAAAAGGUAGGACCAUUAGCUAGGUGAUUAGCCCUAGGUGGGAAAUGAACCGUCUCUAAUCAGAACACUAACUUUUUGAGGAAGUCUGUGGAAGUUCUGAAGUCCCACCCCAUCCCAGGACCUUUAUUUAAUUCUCUUUAGUUCUUCUGCCACAGGGAAGCAGCCAGCGACUAAUAAAAGAUUUGAUCUUGCCAUAAUUUCCCAAGCAGGACAUCUUCUGGAAGGUGUAAAGAGUUGCCCUGUGAAAGGUAUGGCUGAGAGAAUCUUAAUACAAAGCUGAAGACCAAUUGUGAAUUUUAUUACAUUACCAUUAGUACUAUUACCAUAUGAGGUUGUAAGAAUACAUGGUCCUUUGCAGUGGAAAACGCACUAAAUGACAAAGUCCCUCCCCUGAAGAAGCAACAAAUUAAUGCCGUAAGUACCAAGCAGGGUUAUGUGUGUUUGUCUUGUGGGAUGAAUAAGCAGACCGAGAACUACAGAUUUUUGCUUCCUUAAUUUUCAAUUCAUUACAAUUAAAUUGGUGUGCUCAGAAUUGGAUGUAUUAUACAUUAUGGUUUUUAAAGAUCUUUUUACAGAACUGGCUGACUUUUUAUAUCAGCCAAAAGGAAUGCCCAUUGGAAUUAAAAUAUCAUAACAGUUAGUGUUUCUUUUGGCAUUUGAAAUGGUUAAAUAUGCAAAGCAAAAGAGAAACAAAUAAAUCUCAGCUAAAUAUUCAGUUUAAAAGCCGAAAGGAGCAAAAGUCAGGGAAUUCAAGGCAAGAAUGAUAAAAUAACCAGACUGCAUUAUUAGAAAUUGAUAUAGUUUAUAUAAAUUUAUAAAUAUAUAUUAAUUAUAGUCAUUCUGAAUGAAUUAAACUAAGGAAUACUAUUACAAUUUGUUUUUCUCGUCAUUUUUAAUGAGAAUGUUGAUGAUAUUUAAAGUUCAAUUUUUCUUUUCCUAGUUUAACUAAUCAAGGUUAUGAAAUUAAAAGACAGCAAAACCUAUAAGCAAUUAUCUCUGUCCAAAUGGAUAUAGCAGCCCCAAACCACAGCUACAUGACUAUCAAACAAUGAUUAUGAAAACCACAAUUGAGAAAAGCAUCAGGGAAUGAUAUUGCAAAACCACAGCAACAAAUGUGUCUGUGAUAUUGAAAACCACAAUUCACAACUACUACCCUGUGUAUCGCAAAUUACUAUUUAACUAUAAAUGUGAAAAUGUAUAAGUAACAGCACAAAACAAUUUCUCAUUUACUUAAAAAUGAGUUAUUCAUUUUUUGGACUCACUGAUUUCAUCUCUACAUAAUGGUUCAUUUUGAAAAGUUUCUGCUUUCAAAGACAAAUCAUUUAAGAAUCACAUAUGUAAGUUACUUUAAACGCAGAAAAUAUGCAACUUUUAAUAACAUUUCCUUAAGUACUAAAAGAAUUGAUCUGAAACCAAUCUGAAAUAAAGAAACAUUUACUUCAGUCUGGCUUUCUUCAUAAAGUUCUUCAGGAGUGAAAAGGGAUGUGAGUGGACACUGCUUACGGAAAAAAAAAGCUUGAAGUAUUCUAUUACAACUUCAGUGAAAAUAUAAUUGUAUAUACUCUUAAUCGUCCAUUUAGCCGAAAACAUAUAUCUGACAAUAAAAUGAGAUGCCACUACCAAAACUACUUUAAUGUAGAAAGUCAAAGGUUUAUUUACAAGUAAAUAAAAGCAAUAUUGUUUGCAGGUUUAUAGGGUUGCCAGAUUUCAAAAAUUAAAAUAGGAUGCUCUAUUAAAUUUGUAUUUCAAAUAAGCAACUUUUUUUUAGUAUUAAUCAGUUCCAUGCAAUAUUUGGUACAUACUUAUCUUAAAAAACAAUUGUUCAUAUCCUGUACUUUAUUGUAUUUUAUGACAAACCUACAAAUUUAGCAUGUUACCAUUUUCACAAAUUUAUGGUUGUUUUACAAAUAACACUGUUUAUAGAAAAGUCUAAAAAACCCUAAAGUGCUUCCCACAGACAUAUAUAUAAUUCUUGAACAUCGUAUUAUUUAAGGAUGGCAAGGUAGAAGAAUAAAUUUCUAUACAAAAAUUCUUACUUUAUUUGGCACAGUACAGAAAUGUGCUCUCAGUGUAAAUGGAUUGCAUUCAUGUAUGUCUUACUCUUGGAUUUGUUUUUAAAAUGUGUUUUUUCCUCCAAGGGAUUGACAAAUUGAUAAAGCAACCUUCCAGGCCACAUCUUAUUAGGCAGCAAGCUGCCUCCUUUAUUAUGGGAGUAAACAAUAUUCAAAAGCUUCAGAAAGACUUAAUUUUUUGCCCUUGUAUCCUCACCAGAAAUUGAAUACAGUUUAUCUGCCUUGAUUUAAGAUUGUGACACUGAAUUGAACAAGAAUGCAGUAUGAAAAUAGUGUUUCGGAUUUGUACAUCUUUAUAAUUUGAGCAGUUUAAAAAUAAAAAUCAACAAAUUCAUCUAAAUGGCAUUCCUAUGUUAUAACUAUGAAAAGGACUAUGUGCUUACUUGCAAAGGAGCCAAGGGCUUUGAAAACAUUCAGUCUACAUCAGGGGUUUAACUUGGGCUUCGUGUAGACGGUCAAUCUCUCAAAAGAAGUUUGUAUGUACAAAAAAUAUGUUCUAAGGAGCAAAUCUAUUGAAUUCACUGGAUACUAAAAAUGUCUGUGAAAAAGCCAUCUGUGGACCAUUACGAGUUAAGAAUCACUAUUCUCUUUAUGUGUAAAUUUUUAUGGUGUACUGAAAACCAAAGUGUGGAUGACUUCAGUUUUUACUCUUUGCAAAUCAUCCUUUAUGUCCAAGGUACUACUCUGAUAGAAGAGAGUCACGGGAUCAACUCUAUUUAAAAAAAAAAAAAAAGAAGAAGUUCUUUAUUGCUAAGUCUAUAUAAUACAUCGCAUCUUCAAGUAUAAAAUAAAUAUUAAAGGACUAUCGCCCAAAAUUUUAGUAGACAUGUGUGGACUUUGCCUGCCUAGCAUCCAUUCUCUUUUCAGGUAAUAAUGCUGUGAUAUCUUUUAAAGAAUAACUCCUCCUCAUCCACUAUUUGGUCAUGUGAUACAAAUGUGACUGUCCUCAAUCCCUGACCAGAAUACUCUAGGUGUUUGUCUACAGUGAUUGGUUCAGUGGCCCAGAUUAUUCCCAUUAGAGUCAGCCCUGGAACUUUUUCCUGUUCCAAUGGAACCACUGAGGAAAAGGUGCUGUUUUUCUGCUGGGCUACACUGGGAGAAUGCAAAUCCUGCUAUGCAAAUCUGCUGUUGGCCAUCCUUAUUGGAAGAAACUAUUAAGAACACUGCCAACACAGAGGACUAAUUUUGUCUUAUCUUAGAAUCUGAUUUUUGGGAAUUCCAAACUAAGAUACCCAUCAACAUUCCAAUAUUACUUUGUUUUGGAUCCAUCAACAUUAUCUUUGUGUCUCCAUAAAUAUUAGAGUCAUUUCUAUUAUAUCUCACUUUCAUCUAUUUGACCAGGCUAACAUUUAGGCACCUUUGUAGUCGUAGUAUAAAUGUCAUUUUUCACAGGAAGAUAUCACUUAUCUCCCAGUCUGAAUGAGAUACUUCUCCUUUGCUACCAUAACACCUUUUUUGUCUGCAUAUCACUUGUUGCAUUGUAUUACAUUGACAAUUUAGUUACAUAAAAUCUAAUCCUCACCAGCCAAUACACCUGUCCCUCUAAACCUAACUAGAUAGAAAGGUUGGUGAGAGCAAGAAACAUCUUUUUUCAGAACCAUAUCCUCCCCAGUGCUGGACACAUAGAAGGUCCUAAUAUAUUAUUGAAAGAAAAAGUGAAUUCAGAAUUAACCUGUCUUAUGUGGGAACUCCUGCCAUUCUCAGUCCCCAUCCACAUAGUCACAGGUACAGGAGAUGGCAGCCAUAUUUGUACACCAUAACUCUGUGUUCCUGUUGGUGGAUACUUGGGUGACCAACAGGACCACGAGGGCAUCCCUGGCUCAAAUAUGACCAAUCAAAUUCCUCCCUUAGAAAUCUAGGGUUAGUUUCAGGAGUUUCAUCCUUACAUAGGCUGAUCUCUCAAAUGAAGAAGUAAAACCUUUGGCAUUAUGGCAUGGUUAUGACCAUCUGAACAGAGUAGCAGUGAUAGUUUUUCUGUAGAGAGAAAAGUAAAUAAAACAAAUGUCCUGAGAUAAAGUAGAGAAGGGAGUAUGAAGUGGAAUCCCAUGUCUUGUUCCAGCCCCUUCAUGGACUGCAGAAGCACUUCUGCCCUUGAUGUCACUGAGAUACUUAGGAUUUCUUAAAAUAAAUUCCUCCCAACCAAUCUUUCCUUUUUUCACUUAUUUUUGUCCUAAAUUAGCAUUAGUUGAUUCCUGUUACAUUCAAGCCAAAAGACUAAAUAAACUAAGACAAAAAUUAACCAUCUAUGACUCCAGUUUGCUUGACUGAAUAUUUGAAUACUUAGAAAUAGCAGCUUAACUGAAUUUUCAACUUUCUUCCAGAAAAGCACUGUAUUAAUCUGGGUUCUUCGGAUAAACAGAACCAACAG
This is a long non-coding RNA of Mirounga angustirostris (Northern elephant seal), 4450 nucleotides long. RefSeq lists it as uncharacterized. The transcript has 2 exons. Lineage: Eukaryota; Metazoa; Chordata; Mammalia; Carnivora; Phocidae. The record is from RefSeq and is a predicted model, not a curated record.